GUUGCCCGAUGCCACUCCGGGUCUCAUCCUCGUAUAGAAGACGCACUUGCACUCGCGUUAUACUUUCUUCGUUCGCGACGUGCGGCGACGCUCGGGUUUUAAUUAUCACAUUUUCAACGCGUUUCGGUAAAACGCGAGAAUCGCGAGAGCAUAUUCGCGCGCGAAUUAAACCGAUGCUCCGUUCUCGCGUCGCCGCUUUUUUCAAGACCACUUAUCGGAGGGCCUCAUCGACGCACUCGGGAGUCGCCGAUAUUCCAGAAUGGAACUACACUUCACACUUCACUAUUUUAUAUUCCACAGAGAGUAUUUGACGACGAAGAAAUCGCGCAGAUUAUUUCACUGAUUAUUCCGCGUCGAGCGCGUAUCGUAUUUCAACGUCGAAGAUCGUCGAAACUUUGGAUAGAUAAAGAUCUCGAAUCGGCAAUUCCGAGAACGCCCGGACGCUUGCGCUCGACGCGAUUCCGAGAAUCCGGCCGGCUAGACAAAACAAAGAGCAUUUCCCGAGCACUGUAUACACUCGCGAUCGUCGAUAAUACACGGUGAAUCUAAUACGUACUUUUCGUUCUUAACUAAUAUUUCCGACUAGACUCUGACUUUUUGCGAGACAUUGGUAGAGACGAGCAAUGGAUGAUAAUAAACAAGAUAUAAUAGCAACAUGGCGGCGCGACUAUACUUGCAGCCAAGCAGCGAAUUUUGCGAGAAUUACGAGUUCAUUCGUCGCGUACCGAUAUUUCGACACGAUGAUGCGGAAGUAAGACCGGAAACGCGCAAUCUCUCGUUCACAUCACGAGCGACAACACCGAAAAACCCGGCGAUUUUCGCGUGGAAAGCGCACCCGGUAAUUCGCUACGUCUAGUAGACUCGCGCGAAAUCGGCCAACUUUAGGGGGCUCGAGCCGGGUGAGAGCCGUGACGUCACGCGACUUUUCGAAAGAAUGUGAGAGAAGGCGAGAGAACGCGAUUCGCGGCCGACGAGAUCAAUCUCGCUCGUACGAUCGCGAUCACGAUGUCGGGACACGCGACGCGAUCGGAUUUAUACAAUAAUUAACGGCGUGAAGAUACGAAUUAAUACUUACACUCUCGUAUUUUCGCGGACCGACGACAAACGCGACCGUUGAUUGUGACCAACAAUACGAAAGUGACCCAGAGGGCAGCAGCAAUCUAGAUUGUGUUCGGAAAUGCAUUCGAUUAGAGCGAAGCGCUGCUCGACCAAUCAGGACGGAGAUCCUCGGUCUCCGAUUGGUGGACAAAUUUCGGUCGACCAAUCAGGACCACGAGAUUCGCGGUCUGCGAUUAGUCGAUCAAGUCUUGGUCGACCAAUCAGGACGAAGAAAUCCUCGGUCUCUAAUUGGUCGAUUCAAUUCUGCAACAACUCAAGAACCGCCGAAAGUUUCGGAAGUCGGAUCGCGAGAAUUACCGGGAGCUUGCGACGUGAGUUUUCCGAGUUUUUCGACGUCGUCGCUCAUAAUCUAAGCGGGAGAUCGCGCGUUUCCGGCCUUAUUUUCUAAUCAUCGUGUCGAAAUAUCGGUACGCGACGAAUUAACUCGUAAUUUUUACAAAAACCGCCGGUCACGCACACACACAACUACGACACGGUCGCACCGCCAUAUUGCCAUUAUUAUUUCUCAAUAUUCAGUGAAAUGUAGAAUAGUGAAGCGAAUGGUGUAGUGGUCAAUUCGAGAAUAUCGGCGACUCCUGAGUGCGUCGCGAAGGAAGUCGUCAUCGUCGUUCGAUAAGUGGUCUUGAAAAACAACGGCUACGCGAAAACGGAGCAUCGAUUUUAUUCGAAUGCAAAUAAGCUCUCCCAAAACGCGUCGAAAAUGUGAUAAUUAAUUAAAAUCCGGGCGUCGCCGCGUUUCGCGAACGAAAAAAAAUAACGCGAGUGCAAGUGCGUCUUCUACGAGGAGGAGGUCCAGGGUGGCAUCGGACAUAACUAUAUGGAGAACAAGAAGAGAGGAAAAGGGAAGAAGAGAAGAGAGAAGAAGGAUAGCAUCGAGCAACGGCGGAGCAACUAUAAGAUUACAACUCCGCUGCUGCGCAUCGUAUCGGUCGAAAAAGGGAGGAAGGGGACGGAAGAACGAAGAAGGAAAGAGAGAAGCUGAUUGUAUUCGAACGAUCUCUACGCUACACUAUUACGGAUAUAACGUCGCACUUUGUUCGUCGACUCACCUAACGUAGACGCGGCAGGUGGAAUUGUUCACACGCCGGUCACUGGCGAGACGCCGGCGAUCUUCGAAGAAGUCCUUAAGCGCCGUAACACCCAGAACGAACAUGACCGGGAUCAUAGCGACUUCCUUGCCGAAGGCAUUUAUAGCCGGCACCCAAUUCAGCAGGACGAUGAAGAUGAAGUACAGAUUGGCCACGCGAUGAAACUGCUCCAGCAAGUUACGAGGUAGGAAGCUCAACGCCGUGUACUUUGUUGUGCGUACCCUGAAACGCGACAUUGUUAUAUGUCAAAUGUGCAAGAUGAUGAUCUCGUUCGAAUCGACUCUGUCGGAUACAUUGUCAUUGUCGCCCUUACCUGUUGUCCGCCCUAUCUCCAUUAGGAUGCUGUCUCUUCGGGGUUUUCGGGGAGAUUAAAUGAUUCGGUACUAUUGUCCUUAGGCGGGGCUCUUCCGGCAUUGGACCGAAACAAUGAGCCCAUAGUCUUCUCCACCAGGGGGGCGCAACGCUACGUCUUAUCGUAUAAAUAGACUCCGAUCUGCGAACAUCGCGGCGUAGCUUUUAAUACUUUGUUAUGCACAUGAAAAAUCAAUAGAGAAAAAAAUAUCUUAUUCACAAUUUAUGCACGAAACAUUUGGAAUUUCAUGAUAAGUGAUCUCGAUAUAUAUCAUCGAUAUAAAAUUAUCAAUAAUUUUAAUAUAAAGAACCCCAUUAAACAUAUAAGAUUUAUAUUAUCUCUCUACAAUCAUACGACGGAAAAUGAUGAAUCAGAAAUUCUUAAUAUAUUUUUCUGCAUUACACAAUGCAUAAAAUUAUAGAAAAAAUUCUAUCCAAAUUAUAAAGGUUUAGAAAACAUUUUCGGACAAAUAUAGAUUUGAUUAAACUUCGCGUAUUAAUAUAAUGUGUUAACAGCUUCUUUUAGACAUUAUCUGCUGUUAAUGUACAGUUAUUCAAUUCUGUUCAUGAUCGAUUCCGAUCAUUCGGAACAAUAAAUCGUAUAUCCCCUUUCAUACCUGGACGCCUGACGAGAAUGGCCACGAAAAGAAGGCAUCCUGCCGGCGGUAGGCGGCCUGCCCUCUUCCCUGUGGCCCGGAGGCAAGAUAAAGUCCGUUCUGGAACCGACGCGAUGGUGUCCCGUUACGGCCGACUGGCCUUGCGUCACGUCCGCCACCUGACCCUGGCUGAAGGCUCUCUGGUGACCCGGCUUCUUCAACGCUGACGGUCGACCCGCGGACGUGGCGCUUCCCACCGUCGUCAGGGCACCCAGGAAGGACCCGUAGAUCUGCCGUCCGGUCGUGCAAUCCGCCAGGACACCUCCAUGGCUCGCCGAUCUCGCGUGAGUCUUCGGUAAGGGUCUCUUCCUGGCCGGCGAGGUGACUUCUUCUACGGCGUCCUCGUCCUCGUCGCCGUUGCUGAUCUUCGUCGACGUGGACGUCAUCGUCGUCGUGGUGCUGGUCGUCA
Molecule: long non-coding RNA, 3623 nt
Organism: Nylanderia fulva
Lineage: Eukaryota; Metazoa; Arthropoda; Insecta; Hymenoptera; Formicidae
Source: RefSeq, a predicted model, not a curated record